Molecule: long non-coding RNA, 2740 nt
Filed under: Mus musculus (house mouse)
Lineage: Eukaryota; Metazoa; Chordata; Mammalia; Rodentia; Muridae
Description: predicted gene, 56721
Source: RNAcentral
AGUUCCCAUCCAGAGUUUGCUCCGUCAGUGCCUGGCCUCAGCUGGGAAGGACAGGCGGGCCAGCUGUCACAGAUCCCCACGGAGUUCCUGAGGCUGUGGAAAGACCCUCCACUAACCCUGGAUUCCUCUUUUGCCCCCUGGGUCUGUGAGGACACAUGCUGGUAAGUUUAGGUGACUGGAGAUACCAAGGCACAAAAAAAAAAAAAAAAAAAAAAAAAGCUGUGCUGUUUGGAUUUUCCCCCACUCUGUCCAUCCUGCCAGAUGUUCUCCACUGUGAGUGGCAGGCUAGAUUCUUGAGGGGAGGGGAAGGGAGAGGAAUAGAGGGGUGGUAAGGCCUGGAAACAGAGAAUGUAGCUUGGCUGCACUUGGUGGUGGAAGUCAGACUUAAGAACCCUUCAAGACUGUCUGGGGACAUGGGGACAGACUUGCCCUCUCCUUCCUCAGAGGCUGCCCAUAGAUUGUCUUUACGGCCUGGUGGAGGCUUCCAGGUUGCUCAAGCAGUGGAAGAAAAGAGCGAGCUGGGUGUCUACGGGCUUAUCUCAAGGCUGCUCUCUGAGUACAGCCCCAGGCUCCCUGUCCUGUAGGAGCCUGCGGCUGGGCUGCGGUAGACUUCUGGUUAAUCCUCCUCUAGCCUGCUCUCCUUUCUGUCUGACCCAGGUGCUUUGGGUGCUGAGAAGCAGGGCCGUAGUGAAGCCGGUUUGCCUCAAACAUGCUCCCCGGGACCUGGGCCAGAGGCAGCCUCUUUCGUGGGUGGCUCCUAUGUUCUCCUCCUCCGUUCUUAAAAAAAGAAAAAGUUUCCCCCCUUUUUGAACAUGAGUCUCUAACAGAAUCCAGAUCCUGCCACUAAAAAUACUUUAACAAUAGGAAAGUGUGGCAGACUUCCGGCUGAGGCUCCUUAUCGGGGAGGUUUUAACUUUGCGCUGAGGAGGCUGGGUGGGGAAACCUUGGGCAGGGCUAAGGAAAUUUGGUGGGUGUGGGCAUUCUGUCAGGUGGUGGAAGACCCUCUGGGGUGGAGAACUGACCAGUAGAGAUGCACCCAACAAGCUUGUAGGGAGGGAGAAAUGAGGUAGCCUUUCCCCGAGAACUUUGAGCUCUUCUGUGCUUUCCUGCUCUCCCUGCCAGUUCCUCUUGAGGUCUAACCUUAUUCCUAUAUACUGUGUAUUAGUUUCUUCUGCCCGGGAGAUAGAUGGGGUGAGAAAAUCACUGGAUUGAGGUAGCUCCUGUGGCUCUGCUGACUUCCUUUGGUAAUAACACACCCCCCUACACACACACACCCACUCUCCUCACCCCCACCCCUGUAUUAAUGGAGCACUUUCUGUGGAGGGAGCUUCUGGUCAGAGCUGCUUAAGUGCUCUUGCUUUCUCUCACUCAGCCCCUCAGAGGGGAUGGGGUUACUGUUCAGGUCUCAGACAGGGACAGUGUAACCCUGGUCCCUGGUCUGUGCCUGCUUGUCCCUUGCCACUCUCAGGUUUCUGCUACAAGUUCCCGGCAUUCAUAUAUCUCAGCGCUCUGUUCUGGGGUUUAGCCUUUCUCUCCCCUUAGUGAACUGAACUCCCCACCGUGGAACUUAGGGUCUCCCCAGGGGGCCAUGGGACCUGGCCAGGUUUCACUACAUAGAGAUUUGCUGGCCUGGAGCAAGAUACCUGUGGUAGCUCUUCCACAGCUUGCCCGUAUUGAGGGAGGGGUGGGGUGAACAGGGCUCAUGGGCUAACCUGGGAACUCAAACUGGAAACCUGAUUUUCUUUUUUUCGGGGGUGGGAGGGACGUAAAAAUACAUGAUCAGUGCAGGGCCUGGAGAAGGACCAGGAAAUUAGGGCCAGAGACCUGGUCUUGACCCUUCACCUGGGUUCCCAGAGCUGCCAUGGGAAGCCCCUGAGGCAGCAGGUAGCACUUCCCUGCCCACAACACAAAUCCCCAUGCCCACUGCCAGGGCAGGAAGCGGAAGUGGCCUGGUCAGGGCUGGCUGCAGGCUCUGGGGCUAAACAGGGGAAGCUCCCGGAGCUACUUCUCAGUGGAGGAAACAAGGCUCACUCCCUUGACCCACCCCAUGGGAAGAGCAUGGGGGUUGUGGGUGGGGACAGUCUUAGUAAAAGGAGGGAGGUUCCUGCCCUCCGCUUUACAGGAUGGGGCCCAGCCCGCUUGGGCAUCGUGGGAAAGGACUGUGUGAGUCCACUUCCCCUAUUCCCUGCUUACCCAACUCUGCAGAGGAAUGAAGGUGGGCAUUGCUAUCUCAGGCUACUUACUGUUGAAGAGUAAAGGCCACAACAGAAAAAGGCUCUCUGCAGGAAGGGGAGACAGUGAGCUACCCUCAUGUUCCUCACCCAUGGGUCUGAGCGGGAGUCUGGAAUCCCUAUCAUGCUGGGUUCCCUCCCUGCUAACCCCGUGUUCUGAGACCGAGUCUGUGUUUCAGGUGCUCCUGAACUUUCAGCGAUCCUCCUGCCUCAGUGCUAGGACUGCAGAGGUGUGCCACCAUGUUUUUCCAAUGUCAUGUUGCAGCUCCUCCUAACUCCCUGCUUUGAGUAACUGUCGAUAGAACAGAUGUAUAUAUGGAGGGAGAAUCGGCUACUACUCUGAUUUCAGAAACAUACACUUGAAAGAACUUGAACUCAGUCAAGUCCUGCUGCAUCUGCAUUCCCUUAAAUCGGCAACCUUCCUAAUGCUGCAACUCUUUCACACAGUUCCUCAUGUUGUGGUGACCCCCAACCAUACAAUUAAUUUUGUUGGUACUUCAUAACUGUAA